This 690-nucleotide long non-coding RNA is filed under the name Ananas comosus (pineapple). Its description in RNAcentral is "long non-coding RNA (ACOM_LNC041832)". The record is from RNAcentral. Lineage: Eukaryota; Viridiplantae; Streptophyta; Magnoliopsida; Poales; Bromeliaceae.
AAAAUUCAGGCCUCAUCUCAACCCAAUGAAUAUUCAUGCCUAACAAGUUUCAUCAAAAUGGGCCCAAUUUCAGCCCAGUUCACGAAAUCACGGCCCACAUUUUUACCCAUAUUUAAAAUUCAAUUCGAUUUGAAAUUCGAUUCGAAAUUCGAUUUCGAAUUUCGAACCAACUCCCAAUAUAUCCUCCAACCAUCCAACAACCCAUUCAAAAUUCGAAUUUCGAAUUCUCAACCUAUCAUCCAACAACCCAUUCAAAAUCCGAAUUUCGAAUUUCGAAUUUCGAAUUCCCAACCAACUCCCAAAAUAUUCUCCAACAACUUAUUCAAAAUUCGAAUUUUGAAUUUCAAAUUCCCAACCAAUUCCCAAAAUAUCCUUCAAUAACUCAUUUCCAACCAAUUUCCAACAUAUCCUCCAACAACCCAUUCAAAAUUUGAAUUUUGAAUUUCGAAUUCCCAACCAACUACCAAAAUAUCCUCCAACAACCCAUUCAAAUUUCGAAUUUCGAAUUUCAAAUUUUGAUUCCCAAAAUACCCUCCAAAUAAUCACAACAACCUAUUCAAAAUUCAAAUUCGAAUUUCGAAUCCCUCAAAAUAACUCUCACCACCCUUCCCAUUAUAAAUACGAGAACCGAAAUCAAACUCCGAGGAAUUUUUUUAGAGAGAUGAUACGAUAGACAAAGAACAAAAAAAU